This 757-nucleotide ribosomal RNA is filed under the name Diaporthe poincianellae. RNAcentral's name for it is "partial large subunit ribosomal RNA". It matches the Rfam family "Eukaryotic large subunit ribosomal RNA", at positions 109 to 898 of the family's 3401-position model. Lineage: Eukaryota; Fungi; Ascomycota; Sordariomycetes; Diaporthales; Diaporthaceae. The record is from RNAcentral.
UCAAAUUUGAAAUCUGGCCUCGGCCCGAGUUGUAAUUUGCAGAGGAUGCUUCUGGCGCGGUGCCUUCCGAGUUCCCUGGAACGGGACGCCACAGAGGGUGAGAGCCCCGUAUGGUCGGACACCAAGCCUGUGUGAAGCUCCUUCGACGAGUCGAGUAGUUUGGGAAUGCUGCUCUAAAUGGGAGGUAAAUCUCUUCUAAAGCUAAAUACCGGCCAGAGACCGAUAGCGCACAAGUAGAGUGAUCGAAAGAUGAAAAGCACCUUGAAAAGGGGGUUAAAUAGUACGUGAAAUUGUUGAAAGGGAAGCACUUAUGACCAGACUUGGGCCGGGCGGCUCAUCAGGGGUUCUCCCCUGUGCACUCCGCCCGGCACAGGCCAGCAUCGGUUCUCGUGGGGGGAUAAGACCGUUAGGAACGUAGCACCCUCCGGGGUGUGUUAUAGCCUGGCGGACGAUACCCCCGUGGGGACCGAGGUCCGCGCUCCGCAAGGAUGCUGGCGUAAUGGUCAUCAGUGACCCGUCUUGAAACACGGACCAAGGAGUCGUCCAUUAGAGCGAGCGUUUGGGUGUAAAACCCGCACGCGUAAUGAAAGUGAACGCAGGUGAGAGCUUCGGCGCAUCAUCGACCGAUCCUGAUGUUCUCGGAAGGAUUUGAGUAAGAGUUUUAACGGACGGACCCGAAAGACAGUGAACUAUGCUUGUAUAGGGUGAAGCCAGAGGAAACUCUGGUGGAGGCUCGCAGCGGUUCUGACGUGCAAAU